This 465-nucleotide ribosomal RNA is filed under the name uncultured bacterium. RNAcentral describes it as "partial 16S ribosomal RNA". It matches the Rfam family "Bacterial small subunit ribosomal RNA", at positions 338 to 795 of the family's 1533-position model. The record is from RNAcentral.
CCUACGGGAGGCAGCAGUGGGGAAUAUUGCGCAAUGCGCGUAAGCGUGACGCAGCGACGCCGCGUGAAUGACGAAGGCCUUCGGGUCGUAAAGUUCUUUCGACAGGGAAGAAAAUGCAUAUAAGUAACUGUGUAUGUAUUGACGGUACCUGCAUAAGCAGCACCGGCUAACUCCGUGCCAGCAGCCGCGGUAAUACGGAGGGGGCGGGCGUUGUUCGGAGUGACUGGGCGUAAAGAGCACGUAGGCGGUGUUGUAAGUCAUUAGUCAAAGACUAGAGCUCAACUUUAGUAAGGCUAGUGAUACUAUAAUACUAGAGUAUCAGAGAGGAUUGCAGAAUUCCUGGUGUAGGAGUGAAAUGCGUAGAUAUCAGGAGGAAUACCGUUAGCGAAGGCGACAAUCUGGCUGGAAACUGACGCUGAGGUGCGAAAGCGUGGGUAGCAAACAGGAUUAGAUACCCUAGUAGUC